UCGAAUCCUACCAAAAAACCCUUUACCCGGGCUUUGACAUUGGUGGGAACCCCUUGCGAAAGCGAGGGGGUGCCGUCCUCUGGACGGAAUCCCACCACAGGUGGUGCAUGGCCGUCGUCAGCUCGUGUCGUGAGAUGUUGGGUUAAGUCCCGCAACGAGCGCAACCCCUGCCCCUAGUUGCUACCCCGAAUGGGGAGCACUCUAGGGGACUGCCGGCGAUAAGCCGGAGGAAGGUGGGGAUGACGUCAGGUCAGUAUGCCCUUUAUGCCCGGGCUACACAGGCGCUACAGUGGCCAGGAUAAUGGGAUGCGACCCAGUAAUGGGGAGCAAAUCCCCCAAACCUGGUCAUGGUGCGAAUUGAGGGCUGAAACUCGCCCUCAUGAAGCCGGAAUCGGUAGUAAUGGCGGAUCAGCUAAGCCGCCGUGAAUACGUUCUCGGGCCUUGCACACACCGCCCGUCACGCCACGGAAGUCAGUCUUCCCGGAAGGCCCCAAGCUAACCCGCAAGGGAGGCAGGGGACGAUGGGAAGGCUGGCAACUGGGGCGAAGUCGUAACAAGGUAA
RNAcentral lists this ribosomal RNA (562 nucleotides) under uncultured bacterium. Its description in RNAcentral is "bacterial SSU rRNA". It matches the Rfam family "Bacterial small subunit ribosomal RNA", at positions 951 to 1499 of the family's 1533-position model. The record is from RNAcentral.